GUUAUUUUUCAAUGAUAGCUUAAAUGGUUUCAGGAGAAUCAAGAAAUAAAAUAAGAAGAUGAAAAAGCCCAGUCCUUCUCUGAUAGGUCCAGUCUGUCUGCAUUAAUUCGGACACGAUUAAUUCCGUUGUUGAAAACCCUGAAUCAAAAUAAACCUCUAAAGCCCGGAUUUUCUUAAUCUCUCUCUACUCAUAAAAAUGGAAGAUGACACUGACAUAAGAAUGAAGAACCAAAUCGUUUGCAGUUUUAGGAAAUAAGCAGCCCAGACAGACAGUGUAGCUUUAGGUUUGCUUUAGAACUUGUUGGGUUCUUUUAGUAGAAAAAGAAAUCAAGAAUUGAAGUUAAAGACGGUAGCUUAAUAUUUGUUCAAGAAUAAUUUUCAAGGACUUGUUGAAAGCAGUAGAUUUGCCACGCAUGAUUCUUCAGAUUGCUGCUGUUGAUGGGGAUGUUAUUUUUCUCAACAUGAGGCGUCCGAGAGACAUGGUGGGAAGAUUCAGUUUCAGGAUGAAUAUAGAAUUGCUUGUUGGAUUUUUAUUUUUUGCUUUACAGAUAUUUUAUAAUUUGAUGCACAACGAUCACAUGAACCCAACGAAGAGGACUGUGCUCAUCCUAUUUGUUAUUAGCGGGUUCACGUUGUAUUUUCUUAUGCUUGAGUUGUACCUUAGCAUUCCUAGGGGUUUGCCAGAAGAAGAACGUAGGCGGGCGCGUCUAAUUGGAUGGUUUCAGGAAACAGUGAUGAUUCUUGUGCUUGUCCCAAUGGUGUACUGGAUCCUACAGAAACCAGUUUUAACAUUGAUGCCUACUCCCACAUAAUUGUGCUGUGUUGCAAGAAUCAAAACGUUCAUAUUUGGCAAAGGCAUUGACUGUAUAGGAUCUUCUCUGAGAAAACGUGUGUAGCAAUUUCAAAUUAGUCAUCCGACUGCUCUGCAGUACAUGUUUCUAAUCUGGGAUCAGUUGAAAUAUAAUCAGCAGAAUGUAUAUUUUUUCGCUUGUGAAUCUGAAUUCAUGAUUUGUAAAUAACAUUUUUUUGUCUGGGAAUUCAAGUCUAUAUUCAUCUUUGCUACCAUGAACAUCAAGAUUAAUGAGUUUAAUCUGGGAUCAUCGGCCCGGGUUCACUGUGACAUUUUAUAAUGUAAUUCAAUCUAAUCUGCAGAGAUAAGAAAAACAAGUCCCAUCAAUUU
This is an RNA transcript of Ricinus communis (castor bean), 1180 nucleotides long. RefSeq lists it as uncharacterized. The record is from RefSeq and is a predicted model, not a curated record. Lineage: Eukaryota; Viridiplantae; Streptophyta; Magnoliopsida; Malpighiales; Euphorbiaceae. The transcript has 6 exons.